This is a long non-coding RNA of Strongylocentrotus purpuratus (purple sea urchin), 2981 nucleotides long. RefSeq lists it as uncharacterized. The transcript is spliced from 3 exons. NCBI's taxonomy places the organism in Eukaryota, Metazoa, Echinodermata, Echinoidea, Camarodonta, Strongylocentrotidae. The record is from RefSeq and is a predicted model, not a curated record.
AAGUACAAAUACAACAACAUUGCGCAUACUAUGCAUCGCAGUCGAAAUAAGAGCGCAGUGCAUUGAAAUGUAGACGUCUGCUUUUGAUCCUUACUUCAACUCCAACUGAGCUAGCUAGCCAUCAUAAUUUCACAUUGCAAGUUGAAUCUAUUGUAUGAUUGGCCAGCUUCUUGGUGAACUGUUGUUUAGACCCAUCUGAUCAAGAACUGAGCUUUGCCAGCAACUUGACGAAUCCUACUCAUUAUGUGUUACCUUGUUACCUGUGGGAAGUGCGAGAAGAAGACAUGGAAAGGAUGCGGCAAACACGCCGAGCAGGUGAUGAAAGACGUGCCUGAGGGAGAAAGAUGCAAGUGUCCGAGAGGAAGCUAAAAUGGUAUCUAAAGGAUGCUCAACUCUUCAAUCAUACAUUACCAUGUGUCAUGAUGUUCUAUCAAGUACUAUGUGGGUUAGGGAAGGAGGAAGGGGUUGGGGGGGGGGGGGGAUGGAGGACGAUGGUGGAAGAAAAAUGGGGGAUGGGGAGUGGAGGGGUUGGGAGGGGCUUAUAGUUAUCACUUGGAGCGGAUGCCGGUUCUACAGUGUAGAUUAAUAUUUUCCCUCACGUGGAGAUUUAUUAAAAUACUCUGGAGCGAAAGAAAUAUUAUUUGUUAUCCUUCAGUCGAUUUCAAUGACACCUGAACUUUAUGAAAAGAUUUUUUAAAAUUUAAAUUCUGGAGCAGGAUUUUGUCAUUGAUUUUUUGUUGUUGCUGUUGCUGUUGUUGAAAAAAGAUGAGGGAAAAAACUAAUAAUCUUUAUUUAGACCUGACAUAAGAAAGCUAAGAGGAUCAUUGAAAACUUACAAAAAAGCAGAAGUACACACACACAUAUCACUUGUAGGAAUAUCUGUCAAAGCUUUGCAUGUGAUAACAAUUAUUAAAAAACAGUCACCAGAAACAGUGAAACAAGUCGGUCAUAUUUAGAUUUGAUGAAACUAUGCAAACACCAGGGAAAUGAGGGAAAAAUGGAUUCAGGCAUCUCAUCUUCAUUAUUGAUUUAAAUUUUAUUGUGAGUUGUACUUGUAAACUUCCGAUAUGUAGGUGGCAUUGUCUAAAGUGACAUAUACGCCCAUUGCUUGUAAAUAUCUUCAUUGAAGCACAUGGUAUUACGUUUGAUUGCUAUACAUGGUUUUGUUGUUGUUUUUGUUCAAAUAUAUAUAUUAUUUGUAUACUAGUCAUUUUGCUGCAAAGAUAUCUAGAUUUUAUAUAUGAUCUGAAGUGCAUAGACAGAUUAUUAAAUGCUUAUGAUCCAACUGAUAUGAUUCAGAAAUAGUGACGAAAAGAACCGUCAUGGAUUACUGAAUUAAUACAUAAUAACCCACCAAUAUUGUGAAAGUUUUAAUUAUUAAUUGUUUGUGUUAUAAGUAGUCAAACCUCAUCACUAAGAACUGUGUUAUAUCAAACUCUCAUUAUAACAAGGUAAUUUGGGGUCUCUUCUCUCUGUAUUCCAAUUUCCAAUGUUUUUUUAGCCCUGAUAUAACAGGGUUGAGGUGUAACAUGGUAAUAUUCUUUGGUGCCAGGUUUUGUAUUAACAAGGUUCAUUUUAAUAUUCAAACAAUAUAUUGCUCUGUUCCUUUGGUAGAAAUAAGGUUUUUGUAAUAACUUUAGGCUUGUCUAGAGCCCAUGAUGCAAAGCUUUAUGGACCAUUCUAGGGGUUACCGAAUGCAGUAUUUCAUUGUCAUGCACAAACUUCCAAGAAAGUGCUGUAUGUUAAAAUGAUGUGUGGAUCCUUGCUACCAGUACCGUAUAUGUUAAAUGAGCACUUGUUAUGCAUUUAAAGGGAAACCAUGCUAUGUUGUCUCCUGUUCAAGACAAAAAUUGAUCAUUGUACAUUUCAUCAGAUUCUAGUUCCAUAAGUAAGAGAGGCACAGUUGCCUUAUUCAAUUCUGGUUGCUGUAUGUAAGAUUAGCAAUCUUAUUGAUGCAUGCUAGUUACAAAGGCUCCUUCUCAAGUAAUGUGAUAAAUCACAUUGGUUUACCAUUUUCAGUUUUUUUUCUUCUUUUCUUUUAGAUAAAUGGGGAUGAGAAAAAAUAUCUGCAUGUAAUGAAAAAUAUAUUGUGCAUAUCCAUCACGCAAGGUGCUCGUAAGUUACCUCAGCUCUGCUGAACAACAUCACAGUACAUUAAGCACGAUCAAUAGUGUACUGGGCAUCUCAAUGUGCACAUCAGUGUCCUUGCCAUUUGAAACCACGCGCAUUUCAUCACGUCUUGAUUUUGUAGAUCUGCACAUCUGCACAUCUUUGCUGCGUUUAAUCGCUUUUAACUGUGCACUAUCAUUUUUUGAUUGGAACUUUUUUUUGGUAGGAAAGAAUGAUGUACGGUCAUGUGGUGUUAUUUUACCAAUAAGAUUGUCUACAUUCUAGAAUCCUUUUAUGAUCCUUUCAUUUGACAACGUUUCUCACAACAUUUGUAAAGUAUCCUGAGGUAAUGACAUGUACACACCUCUUUGUAUUAUUCUGAUGAGAAAUAUUUUGCUGCAUAUGAUGAAUGUUAAAGUUAGUAGCAUUUAGCUCACUUCAAACGAAAUGAAAUGAAAAUGAAUUUCAAGAAAAAUUGGGGAAACCAUGCCUGAUAUGGGUACAGUUGUCAAUGAAGUACUUUCAAUAAUUCAUUAUUUGGGGUAAAUACUGUAUUCUCAUAUAUUUGUUUAACAUGAUUGUAUUAUAUCUUCAGAGAGUUAUCAAGUAUUUGGGAAUAUCUUGCUUUGUUGUUAUCUAUAUUAGAAGCUAAAAUCACUCAACGAAUUGUAAUUUAAACAAAUCUCGAGUUUAAUAAGAAAGCAAUGCUACUCUCUUUGAGAAUUCAGAUGAACAUAAGUCUUGUAUUUAUUCCACUGUUUUAAGACUGGUUGCUGCAUGUUAAUUGAAAUUGUGAUUUUCCUUACUGAGAAAAGUAUUUAUGUUUGUAUUUUAUCACAUAAAUAAAGAGAUAUGAAUAUAAAGUCAAAUAA